RNAcentral lists this transfer RNA (55 nucleotides) under Stenella longirostris (spinner dolphin). RNAcentral's name for it is "tRNA-Phe". RNAcentral also lists the same sequence under 1 other name. The record is from RNAcentral. Lineage: Eukaryota; Metazoa; Chordata; Mammalia; Artiodactyla; Delphinidae.
UUUUAUAAAGCAAGACACUGAAAAUGUCUAGAUGGGCAUUAUUGCCCCAUCAACA